Non-coding RNA from Anas platyrhynchos (mallard), 5293 nucleotides. The record is from RefSeq and is a predicted model, not a curated record. Lineage: Eukaryota; Metazoa; Chordata; Aves; Anseriformes; Anatidae.
AACGCAACGAGGCGGGACCUCUCUGAACGCCGCUAACACGGAAGGCAGGCGGCAGCUCCACUCAGACAGGAAUGGACGUUUCGGUGAGCCUCGGGCAAAGCGGAUCACCGGCACGCGACCUGUGCAGGAGGUCCUGCAGCCUCUCGAUGUAGCUGAUGGCGCUCCUCAGGAUCUCCACCUUGGGCAGCCGCUGGUUGGGGUUGGCCACAGUCCGCCUUUUCAGCGCCUCGAAGGCUUCGUUGAUCUUCUUCAGCCGCCUCCUCUCCCGCAGGGUGGCCGCUUUCCGCCUGUCCGUGGGGGCCGACUUUCUCUUGCAGGUUUUACAAGCCCAGAUCAAACACUGGCCGGGGCAGUGAGGGGGCUGCAGGCCCGGGGGGGCCAGCACAUGCUCCUCGCCGCUGCUGUCGCUGCCGGCCUCUGGCGGCAUUUGGUCCUGACAGGGGGACAAAGUGCCGUCGCUGCCUGGGUACAGCGGGGAACCCUCCGCCAUCUCCAGCUGCUGCAGGGCUCCAUUCUCCCCGUCCAAGUAGAAGAAAUAGGAGCCAGUUUCGAAAAGGGCCUGGCAAGACUUCCAGGGCUUCCUGGCCCCGGAGACAGAAACGCAGCUUGUGAUCACUCUCUGUUAGCAUAUACUGUAAUGUCACAUCAUGUCUAGGCCUCUCUCACCUCACGGAAGGUAAGCUAUGGGAAAAUGUCCUGUCUGCUUCUUUCUCUGGGCUGCCUUGCUCUCCUUAAUCACAUGCAAUUUCUCUCUGCUUAUAUAAAUAUAUAUAUAUAUAUUAUAUAUAUAUAUAUAUAUAUAUAUUAUAUUUAUCUAAAUAAAACAUAUAUAGCCCUGGAAUACCAGGGCAUCUCUCAAAGUUAGCUUCUGACUUCUUUCUGAAAGGAACUGUGGCAUUCUUGUUCCAUUCUUAAAAGCUGCAGUUACCUUGAUUAAUGGCAUGACUUUCUCCAAAACUGAUUGCAAACCAGUUUUUAUGAGUACAAAUAUAUUAUGGAGUAGCUGAAAUUUUGUUUUGACCAAAUCAGUAUUGCUGAAAUGGAUCUCAUUUCAGUUUUAAUUAGGCAGUACACAAUCCAUUUUUGAACGAGACAGAGAAAUUCAACCUGUUUUCAGUGAAACUAAUUUUGAUAUUAAUAUUCCAGAACUGAGGUAUUUUUUUCACUUUGUAGUAGCCUUACAGUUAAGGAGCUGAACAUAAGACACAGUUUCCUCGCUCUGUACUUAGUUUGCUGUUUGACCUUUGACCAGUCAUUUAAUUUCCCUGUGAUUUAAUUUUCUACCUUUAAAAAGGGAUAUGUCAGCCUUUACCCAUCCCUUGCAUUUCUCAUGUUGCCCCUUGCCAUUAUGUGCUUUUCAGUACCAAAGGGAUGUUUUUCCCAUACUGGUAAUGACAGUGGUAAUAAAAAAAUAAUAAUGUCUGCUGAUUGCUUAAAACUUUUCACCUUUACUACAGUUAUUAUUUUUUCUUUUAAUCAUUAGUUUCUUUGCUGCUGCUCUGGUGGUGUUUGGAACAAGACAGAAAAGAACAAUCUACUGGUGAGCGGUAUCAAUAACCAGUGGGGAUCAGGCAUAACUGUUCCUGUUUAGCACUCUGAAUGGGCACCUAGGGUGCUCUCAGCAUGUGUCAUCUGGAUUUUGUUCCAAGGAAACUAAGCGGGAAAGUACCCUAAAAAGUGAAGUGGAUGCUAGGUCAUCAGCACUAUUAAUUUCUACAGAUCUGAUCCUGAUGUACCUAUACUAUCUGCUAAUCUACUGAUAGUCACAGUUCACUGCAAAGGAACUUGACUGUCAUUCAUGGAAAAAUAACUCCUGCUGCUGGAAUGAAGCAUGCCAGACUCCAUGGCCUGUGGUAUGUAGGCACACUGCUUUUCUGAACUCAAUUUUCUAAGUUAUAUGAACUCCAGAGUGGUCUGCAGCAGCAUGGAACAUGGAGCAGCUUUAAGUCCUGAUUUUCAUUUAUAUAUGUUGUUAUACUUCCAGCUGACUUUUGCUUACUUAGAUUCUAUUAUUUACUGUACUCUCUUCAAAUUCUAUUUUUCCAAGGAAAUUAUAUUAUUUGGAUAUCCACAAUGUCACGUGUACUCACUGCAAAUUUGGGAACUGACUAGAGGAAGUGCGUGUAGUCUGCAUGCUGGUGCUUGUGCAUAAGUAUAUGGCCAUUUCAGAGAACAUGUAAACAAGCAUCCCUGAAAUGCAAGUUUGGCAAGUGGAGUAGUGAAUCGUAAUGCAUGCUGUGGGGCUAGAAAGUCAGUAAGAUAGAGAUAUGAAAAAGACUACUUCAUAUAAUUAUACAGUCUCUGUAGGGGAAGAUUUAAAAAAAAAAAAAGUCUUAUUCACAGUGGCCUUGGCUCUAUUGCUGUUCCAAAUCACUGCUGUUUUCCUUUGAUUGGAUAUGGACUUUAGUGUUCAUAUCAGUUACAGUCCUGUUAGUAUCUGAGAGGUGCAACCUUGCUAACUAAACAGACUCCUCUGGUUCAAGAUGGUAAGGUAGGAUUUCAUUACAGCUCUCAUGUUGGGCAGUUAUGAGACACAGUUCUAAAUGGCAGAUGCUUUAAUGCCUGUGUCAGGGUCUACAGUGACAAAUAGUCACCACUGCACAAACACAUUUAUUUUACUACAAGACGUUUUCCUGGGGAGGAGGCAUUGCCAAUCAGAAACCAGAAGCCCAUUGCACUGUUGCUGGCUGGGACAGGCAUUUUCCGUGGUUCUAUCCUGGGAUUCUUUGCAGGAAAGAAAGCAAUAAAAAUUAUAGUCAUCUUCUACUUUUGAUUAGGAAAAAAAAAAAAAAAAGGAGGGGAGGGGGGGGACUUGAAAUUUGACAAGAGUCCAAGACACAUCACGUGCUUUAUAAUAGUAUUUUUUGCUAUAACAUUUUUUUUUUGUAAGUACAGGAAAGAUCAUUUUAUAGUUAUAUACUUAUUUAUUUGUUUAGACUAUAAGCAGAAAGUGCAUUUUCACAUUAUACAGUUUCAGAAUGUAAUGACAAUGAUAUCUAAACUCAGUCAAAAGGACAAUAAUUAAACCAUAGAUAAUUAAAAUAAAUACAAUUUUUAAUUCUGUAAGUGAAAGUAAAGAAAAGCUUGUAGGAGAAUCAGUGUCUUCAGUCCAGCACUUAGACUAAUCAUAUCCCUGCUGCCUAUGGACAGAAAGAGAGCUUAGUGUUCAGGCAGUGGAAAAAAGCAGCUUUCUUUUCUGAAGCUCAUAAGAGAUUUUGGCAGAACCACAGCACUUCGUGGUAAAAUGGGAUGACAGUGCCCUGGAGUCUGGAAACCAUGAAGGUACAAUGGAAGUUAUGGAUGUACAGAGCUCUCUUCCCAGCAAUAACAUAGGGAUUGUUUAAAACAGUACAUCACAAAGCCACCAAGUGUUUAUGCUGAAUGAUCACCUUCUAUACACGAAUUGCAUUAAACAGUUUCAUUAUCUAUCGCCAAAUUUUUUUUUGGGUUCCUGGUAUAGACCCUUUGACAUAUGGAUGUACCAGUACAAUGAGCCAUUUGAUUAGAGAUACAUAGCACUGGAUAACUAAGAUAAAGUUAGUAAGCUGUAGUCACAUGUAGGCAUUACUGGGUCUUGACUUAUUUCCUGGUGCUGCAUUAAUAUACUCAGUUAUUCCAUGCACUUGUGGAUUUAAAAUGCAGAAACAACUGAUAUGAGAAUCUCCUGAGAUCCCUUUCUAAAAUGUAAAUAAUGUGUUGGAAGUAAUGCAAUCCUUUCAUUGUCCCAUAGAUUUCCUUGUUCAUCAUAGAAUCAUAGAAUACCCUGAGUUGGAAGGGACCCAUAAGGAUCAUCAAGUCCAACUCCUACAGUAUACAUUUUCUCUGUUGUCUAUAAUUUCAAUUUUUUUUUUCCAUUAUAUUUUCAACAUUGUUCUGCUUUUGUGGACAAACAAUUUAGCUCAUAAUUUGGAAGAAUUGUUGAUUUAUCCAUGAUUUGUAUUUUGAACAUUCUGCAUGAUUUAUACUUUGAGAUUUUUUCUCUGUGAAUCAUCAUUAUCUCUUUUUCUUUCCACUACCCACAUUACAGCCAACUGAACAAAUAAAGCUUGUCUCAUAUACAUUGUUAUGGCUUGCUUGAGAUCCUUUGGGUGACAUGUCAUCAAUCUUUCCAUAAUAUAUGAUGAAAAAUCCAUCCUGCAGUCUACUAACAGUCAAGGUCAUUAUGGUAAAGAAAUUGACAGUGUGAGAAACCUUACGUGGACUUCUACAGUUCUUAUCAAGGAAAUCCGUUUUCAUUAUUAUAAGAGAAUUAGCAUUAUCAGCAUUCAAAGUAUUGAUGUCAUCAGUGCCAUUAGUGAAGAAUGAACAAGAAGGAUUGCCAACUAAUUAAGAACUAACUAAUUGAACUUGUUUCUGGAGAAGAGAGGUCCCUGAAGGUUCUGGAUCAUCAGUGUUGCUCCAUUUGGAUCCAAAAGUGAAGUUAAUAGUAAAUUGACUAGGAAAGAAGAAGAAAAAAUCCACCAAUAACAACAAAAAACAACAGAAUUUCACACACUUCCAGCUUCAUGGAACACGGGGUGGAUGGUAAUCAGUGUGGUCUAUUUUACUGAAAAAUUAAUAUGCCCAAGAGCCACAAGUGCUUCGAGUAUGCAGACAAGCCAGAGAGAAGCUUACAUUUGGAAAGGCUCGCAUGCAGGAUAUGGCAAUGGUUGCCCUAAUAUCUCACUGCCCCUUUGUGACCAGGACUGGGCUGAGUGUCCAGGCUAUUUUGAAGGUGUUGGCCUCAACGACUUCCACUGGCUCACUUCCUCCCAGAGUCAGGGGUUUGGAUUACGCAGCCAUGCCAGCAGACCAGCCAUGUGAUACAUCUUUGGCAAGGAAACUUUAUUUGAAUUGUGUGCAAGCCAUGUGCAACACAAGGUUAGCCUCUGCUGAAAUAUAAAGCCUAAAAUUAUUUUUGCAGUCCUCUGAGAUUAAUUAUAAAUAGUUCUACAGUAUAUACAAUUGAUUUCCUAAAUGUUAUUGAGACUAUUAUAUAUAGAUCAUAAAGAAAUGUUUUAAAAUGGUAGCAGAAAGUCUUGUUUCAUUUGAUAUGUAAUCUUAAUUUCAUUAUAAAUGAAACAUUAAGAAUUUUCUCAUAGAUUUGCCUUUUUGGAAAGAUGAACUUCUUACCAAAAUUUAUCAAUAUACCAAGCUCUCACUCUAUGUUUGGAAUUUAUUUUUUCAGAAAAAAGGAUAACGUUGUAUAAUGUUGAAUAUCAGUGGAAUAUAGUACUUAAGUAUUUCAUUAAUGGACCAUUCUUUUCUCCUAAGCACUUUAAUAAAGGCUUUGUCAAAUAUGUUGUUUACAAUG